UAUAAUAAAACAUUGUAACAAAGAUAUAAAGUAUAAAAACAUGCGAUUUUAAGAACAUCCAAUUAAAUAGAUUUUUAAUAUUUAAACGCGUUUGCGUUGAUCCGUAUGAAAGUAACCGGUAACUAGAAUUGAGCUACCGGUAGAUUACCGGUAACUUACCGGUCAGUAACAUUACCGGUAAGUAACUUGCCGAACCCUACAUAUAAGUAACUGUUGUUUAUCUUAAAUUAUCAUUUGAAUCGUUUAAAUUUUAUGUAGAAAUGCUCUUUAUUAAUUUAAAAAUCUAUGUUAAAGACUUCAAUUUCUGCUUUGUUUUUUAGAAUUAAUUUUUUUUUUUUACUAAUGAUUCAAAAGAUUGGAAGCUUUUUAUAUAAAGUGGAUUAAGAAAGACCGGGCGUCAACAUUUGCUAACACAAGUCAAUUUGAGGCAAUCAAACCGGAAUGAAUCAAAAACAACAAAAAGAAUUCGGAGAUAAAUAAACUUAGACAAACUUAGAGAAAAUCUACAACAUAAAUAUACUAAAUUUUUAAAAUAUCUGCUGAAAAUUGAUAUUUGACUGAUUGCCGUGUUACUAUUUAAGAGAUUGUGAUACUAGUCUUUUUUAGCAAUAUGCGUUAUUAGAUUUAUUCAUAAAUAUUACAUAUCAUCAUUACGCGUUAUAAAUGCGUUGAAAAAAAUCAGAAGAAAUGCCUCACCGGCAAACAAGUUGUCAUUUUUAUAUAAUACAUGAAAAACCUGUCAGCAAAUUUAUGUCUUUAAUUUUUAGCAGAAUUAUAUUUUGUGUCCUUUUUUCGAUAUUUUGAAGCUAUAUAUUUUGCAAAAUUUUAUUCCAAAUGAAUCCAAGUCUAUAAAUUUUUUUCAAUAUUUUGAAUGCUAUAUAUUUUGCAAGAUUUUGUUCCAAAUGAAUCCAAGUCUAUUUUUUAAAGUUUGUUUUUAAAUUAAAUCAGUGAAAAAGGUAGGGGUCAGUCUUAAAAUAAUACCAAAAACCUCGUUUUAUCAAGUCUUCAGAUAUUGAAAUAAAUUUUUUUAUAAAUUCGGAAACGUUUAUGAAACACCUUUUUUGGACCGAUUGCCAGCUGGGUUGGUAUUCAAAAAAAGUUAUUUAGAUUUCAAAACUAUCUUUUAUAUAUAAAAAUUUUUUUAAUAAACUAAAAAUGCAAGUUUUUUGAUAAUUUUUUUUUUUCGUGUUUUACAUAAGAUAAUUAUUUUUAAAUUUUUUAUGGUAUUUUUUUGAAAAUAGUAGGAGCUGUCUGGCGUCGUCCAGUAAAUUAAUUAAAUAAAUAAUUUGGAUACCACCCUAUUGUAUAUUUUGACCUUUAAUCGUUAAAGAGAAGAUUAUGACUUUUUUUUUUA
Hydra vulgaris (swiftwater hydra) is the source of this 1354-nucleotide long non-coding RNA. RefSeq lists it as uncharacterized. The record is from RefSeq and is a predicted model, not a curated record. Lineage: Eukaryota; Metazoa; Cnidaria; Hydrozoa; Anthoathecata; Hydridae.